This 5315-nucleotide long non-coding RNA is filed under the name Sus scrofa (pig). RNAcentral describes it as "lncRNA (ENSSSCG00030071502.1)". Lineage: Eukaryota; Metazoa; Chordata; Mammalia; Artiodactyla; Suidae. The record is from RNAcentral.
AUUCAUGGAGGAGCUGCUGGUGGUUGGGUGGGCGCCCAGCCCCGUCAUGAUGCUGCUGCCUCCCCGGACCUGCGGGGAGCAGCUCAGAGGGCUCUCCUGCCUGCACCACCUGCCCUCUGCAGAGUGUUUUCUUCAUCCAUGCGUUCACUUCACCUCACUCAUCCUCGAAGGGUUGUGUGUUCACAGGGUGUCACACACAUAAUCACAGAAGAGUGUGGGACUUGAGAUGGUGCUAGGAAGAAACGCUCCUGAUGGCGGGUGGUCCCUGGGUGUGGCACAGUCCUUAAACUGGAACAGAUCUCCCUCAGGAGAAGGCGGCACCCUGCCAAGACCACCAGCACCAGGAGCCGAGGGUGGAAGCAGGUGUGCUGGGAUCCUGGGGGCCAGAUGGUUUCUGAACUGGGAUUGCAUCUAGUUUUGGAAGGUCUGAUGGUGCAUGUACCCUGACUGUGUGACACCCCAUAGCCAAACACAUCGACAUUCAUAUUGAUAUUACAGCAGAAAGUCAGACCAUAAUGGCCCUGGCCAGUUCCCAUCCCGUCUGGCCACCACGUGAGUCCAGGUCAGCUCAAGUUUUGCUGGCAAGUGGUUAGGGGCAGAAUAUCCAUUUUCAGAGCCCUUUGCACAUUGGGGGUGCGGUGCUGUGGCGUGUCCCGAUGGAGCGCAGGAAGGACUGAAGCUGAGGGGUAAAGAACACGAUGCUCUGUGCCGAAAACCUUUCACAUUCAUUUAAAGGAUCCUGUGCUAGCAAACAGAGAUGUAGUUUUUACAUAGACGAUAAUUGAAGGGUUUCUAUCUUUUUCUUGUUGAAUUUAAGAGCACUUUAUAUAGUACAGAUCUCUUUCUUUCUUUCUGGCCACUCAUGUGGAACUUCCUGGGACAGGGAUUAAAUCCGAGCUGCAAUGGUGACCUAUGCCACAGCUGCUGCAACACUGGAUCCUUUAGCCCACUGCUCUGACUGGGGAUCAAACCCAUGCUUCCACAGUGACCCGAGCUGCUGCAAUUGGAUUUUUAACCCACUGAGCCAGUAGGAACUCCUCCAGCUCUUAAAAUACUUAGAUGUUGAAAUUAUUGAACUUUUUUUUUUUCAUUUUCCUUUAUUUUAAGGUCUUUGGCCCCAAUGGGAAGUUUAGUUUUUAUGUGUACUAAUCCAACCAACAUCUUUCAGCUGAUAGGGACUUUCCUAUGCCAGGUUUAUGCCAGAAGUUUUCUAUGUUUUCUUCCAAUUCCUUUAAGGUUUUAUUUUUCACAUCUUCAUAUUUAAUUCUCCUGGAAGAACUCCAACUUUUAGGAUUUGGGGUGUGGAGCCCAACAUACUAAAUUUCCCACUGUGCUGAUCAGCAUAUGCCACUUUCAUCACCUACAAAAACCUGUCUAUGCACGAGGCUGUUCUCCCACGGUCCUGUCUGUCUGUCUUGUCCUGCACCUGCAGGACCCUGUGCGUCCGUAAGAGAUUUUUACAUCUGAUAAGACAAGUGAUUGCCAUUAUUCCUUUUCAUUUCAAAAAUGUCUAUGCUAUUCUCUUUUUUAAAAAAAUUUAUUUAUUUUUGUCUUUUUGCCACUUCUUGAGCCGCUCCUGCGGCAUAUGGAGGUUCCCAGGCUAGGGGUCAAAUCGUAGCUGUAGCUGCCGGCCUACGCCAGAGCCACAGCAACACAGAAUCCGAGCCGCGUCUGCGACCUACACCACAGCUCACGGCAACGCCGGAUCAUUAAUCCACUGUCUAUGCUAUUCUCAAACAUUGUGUUCCUUCUGAUGAAAUUUAGAAUCAACUUCUUAAAUUCCAAAUAAUUUCCAUUAGAAUUUUGAAUGUGGUUGAAACCGUAGAUCGAUUUAAAGGAAAUCUCCUUCUUUAGAAUGUCAUCUCUUUUUCCAGGAAUCAAGAAAAUCAUUGCUGCGUUAGGAAUUUUGUAUGUCCUUAUAUUGAUUUUUAUUGUUGCUGUUUUCCUCCUAUUUAUUUUUGCAGUAUUAGCUUUACUGAGAUUCAGUUCAUGUACCAUUCAGUUCACCUGCAUAAAGUGGGUAACUCAGUAGUUUUCGGUAUCUUCAUCAAGAUGUGCAGCUGUUACCACAGUCAAUUAUGGAACAUUUUCAUCUCCUCAAGAAGAAGCCCAUACAUCUUAGCCAUUACCUGUCCCCCGACCUACUAUUUACCCCUAUUCCUAGACAACUACUCUCCUUUCUGUUUCUCUGUUUACCUAUUCCGGACAUUCUGUAUAAACAGAAUCGGAUAAUACAUGUUCUUUUGUGAUCAGCUUCCUUCACUUUACCUAAUGUUUUCAAGGCUCUGUCAAGUCCUGACACAUCAGUAUGUCAUUCCUUUUCAAGGGCAAACUAUUCCAUUGUGUGGGUAAACCACAUAUUAUUUAUCCACCAUCAUCUGGGGGGCAUUUAUGGUGUUUUCACCUUUUGGCUGAGGGUAUAUUCUAGAAUAUUCAUGACAAGUUUUUAUGUGGCUAUAUUUCUGUUUUUAUGUGGACUUGCUGGGUCAAAUGGUGACUCCAUAUUUAAUUUUUUUUUGUCUUUUGUCUUUUCUAGGGCCGCACCUGAGGCAUAUGGAGGUUCCCAGGCUAGGGGUCUAAUCAGAGCUACAGCUGCUGGCCUACACCAUAGCCACAGCAACGCCAGAUCCUUAACCCACUGAGUGAGGCUAGGGAUCGAACCCGCAACCUCAUGGUUCCUAGUUGUAUUCGUUUCCACUGUGCCACGACGGGAAUCCCCAUAUUUAAUUUUUAAAGAACUGCAAGACUGCGUUCCAAAGUGGCUGCCCUGUUUUACAUUCCCACCUGCAGUGAAUUCCAGCUUCUCUACGUCCUUGCUAAUGCUUAUUAUCUGACCUAGUGAGUGUGCAGAGACAUCUCAUUGCAGUUCGAUUUGCAUUUCUCUGAUGAAGAGUGAUGCUGAGCAUAUUUUCAGGUGAGAGGAGAUGCUGCCCCUGGCCCUAGGGAGCUUUCCCCCAGGGGUGGGAGCAGCGGCUUUCAGCUCCGUCAGAUGGCAGCAGGAGGGGUGUUUGGAAGAUGCUGGUAACCUACCAAGCCAUGGUUUCUUAAAUGAGGGCAAAACUGUAAAACCUGCAGAAGACCCCUGGAGACUAACACCCCAAGAGGAGGGUCAGCUGAAAGGAAGAGAUGUUUGAAAAACCUGCAGAGCAAAGACUGUUGCCAACCCAGCAGAACCAACAACCAAGGCGGCAGGAGAGAGGUGCCUCCAGGCCGGAGCCUGGGACAGCAUUGCUUUGAAUUGUGUCCAGUUCAACACAGGCUGGCAGACAAGUUACCUGCAUGUUUCCAAACCUCUGGGAAGGAGGGAGACAGCCCCUCCCCAGCCUGGCCCUGGCAGUGGCGGUGGCAGGGGGAGGUCUGGUCUGGGACUUGGCCUCAGGCCCCAGGGUUGUUCUGGGACCCGGUGGGGGUUGGGGGCCUGCAUCAAAUCCGUGCUCCCCCCCGCCCCCCCGUCGCCACAGGCUGGGCCUCUUCUCCUUUCAGCUCAUGAGUCCCCACCAGCCUCUCUGCACAGGCUCCUUCCCUCCCUGCCAUAAAGGCCCCGGAAAUGGCAAGACAGGAGACCCCUUGCCUUCGGCCUGCCUGUCUCUCCUGCACUGGUGUUUGGUCAGUUCCUCAGACUUGCCAGGACCACAGCAAAGCCAGGUCUGAAGUUGGGGAAUGGCUCACCUUCAGUUCCGGGGGCCGCUGGGCUGGGUGUCCUCUGCUCCCCUGCCAAGUGGGUCCCUGGAAGGGCUCCCUGGUGGGUCGGCCCAUUGCUGCUCAGACCUCCAUUCUGUAGGGAGCCUCUGGAGACCUCCUCCCCCUCCCCCUCUGCCCCUGCCCCGCCUCCCCCCCCCCCCCCGGGGGGGGGUGGGAGGAGAAGCAAGGGCUGGAAAAAGAAGCAGGAACUAUUCACAGGUGCGCCUGGCCCUGUAGCAGGCAGACUCAGGGAUCCUGUCCUCUCACGGGGCACACGCUCCAGGAUAGAAUGCAACAAAUAGGAACCUCAGGUGGGGACAAGCUCCUCGAGAAAAUCUCUGGGACGAGAGAUAGAGGGGGCAAUGGGACCCCAGGGUGUCACACAGAUGGCCGAGGUGGGGUCAGCAGGACCCUGUGGCCCCUGGCGAGGAGGGAGAUAGAUGGUUUCAUAGUUGUCUGCAGGGUGGAGGGUGGGUGCUGGUGGCAGAGACUUACGUGGGGGGAGGAUGAAAACGUGAAUGGUUGAGGAAUGAUUUGGGAGCAUGAAGGAGACGAUCUGUUUUCUGAGACGGGGAAUAAGAGAGACUUGGGGUGGUGGACAGUCUGAGGUCUGUUCUGGGCAGUUCAGUGUCCCCCCAGCAGCGUGGUAAGCCCACCUCUGGGAGGUGAUCAGGGUUGGCUAUGCCACAGGGUGGGGCCCCCAUGAUGGGAGUAGCACCUGAUAAGAUCACCAGAGCAGGCUCUCCCCCCAGAACAGGACCCAUCGAGAAGCUGGCUGUCCUUGACCAGAGGCUAAUGCUGCCAGCACCUCUAUCUUGGACCUGCAGCCUCCGGAGCUGAGAGGAACCAGGUCUGCUAAGCCUGAGCCCGUGGUGUCUUGCUGGAACAUCCUGAGCAGACAAGGCAGCCAGGAGGGGCCCUGAGGAGCCCCACACCUGCUGACCAGGGCCUGGAUCUGUGGGAGAGACCUGCCUUUAAGUCUUGGUCCAGGGCCUCCAUCACCACGGGGCUCAUUUGGAUCCUCUGUGCUACCCGGAAGCUGAAGCAGCAAGUGUGCCCCCAGGACCUUGAGCUAUGUUAACUGCCUGCUUGUCCCUGCCACAUGGCCCUGGGAAAGGCCAGGGCCAGGGAACACUGAGGUUGCCCUGGGCACACUGCGGUUGACUGCCACGCCCAGUGCCAUUGCCAGUGGAGAACUCACUCAAAAGCAUUCCAUUUUGAGUUGUGAGAUUUACAGAAGAGUUCCUGCACACCUUCUCAGCCUCCCCUGGGGCUCCCUGAGGUCACGUGUGUGCCCGCAGGGCCCUCUUCUGCCCAGGUCCCAGAUGGACUCCUUGGUCUGUCUGUCCCUGGACUUUCAAGCUGCCCCUGUAGAGAUGCGGGCCCUUCCUGCCUGAGCGUCCUGCCCACUGGGCCUGUCUGGUGCUUCUCUUGGGCAGACUGAACUCACGUUUUUGGCUGCUCUGUAGUACCCCCACUCUCCGAUGUAUUCUAUUUGAGGGCACUUGAGGUCACUGUGUCCAUGAUGUGACAUUCACCUUAUCACCUGGCUAGGGUGGUGCCAGCCCAGACUCCCUACUGCAGCUUAUACUGUCCACUUUGUAAUUCGUAAAGGUUUUUGGUGACACUUCCAG